GUCGGGGUGGCGGAACAGGCAGACGCGCACGGUUGAGGGCCGUGUGGAUAACACCAUGUGGGUUCAAGUCCCAUCCCCGACACCA
RNAcentral lists this transfer RNA (85 nucleotides) under Bacillota bacterium. RNAcentral describes it as "tRNA-Leu". It matches the Rfam family "tRNA". Rfam says of the family: Transfer RNA (tRNA) molecules are approximately 80 nucleotides in length. Lineage: Bacteria; Bacillati; Bacillota. The record is from RNAcentral.